CAUUUACUUAUUAUGUACGUACAUACACAAUUUAACACACCUCAUCAGCAGCCUCACACUCCAAAAUGCGAGAUGUCCGGAUUGCUCGCAGAGAGGCAAGACGAUGGAUAGACCUCUCAGCAAAUGUCCUGUUAGGUACAUCAUCAGGUCCUAGCUUAGCAAUUGAUGGGAUUGUUUCGAAAGCUAAAAGCUGGAGAGCUAAUGGGAAACCAUGGAGUGCAUAAGACCCUACAAGUAUACCCCUUAUUAGUUUCUGAGCAUCGUAAGGAGUUUGGAAAUUUGCUAUCCUCCCCAAAGUACGGGUAAAGGACACCCUUCCCCAUGGGUAUUUGCAGAAAAACUCCAGGUUCUUAGUCAUCUCGACAGUCUUCGAAGUAGGCCUGUUGGGGUUACUGUGGGCCGCUACCACACCGUCAACCAAAAUAAUAAGAGAUAGUGCCAGUUGCUUCCACCCCUCCAUGCUUUCCUCCUCCUGCAGCCAGCUCACCAAAUCAGCAAUUGUUAGAACCGUGUUCCCAAACCUCUCAUGAAACAGAGUAUUCCAAACACUCUCACACUCAGGUUUCACACUGAUAACAUCAUCAACGUCUUUCUUCUUGGGAUACUUCCCACAUUCCAGCCCAGUUAAGAUACUAAAUUCUCUUAAUCCAAAUCUGAUUGGAUGACCGCCGAAUACAAUCCACAUCUCAUUCACCUUCUUUGUCACUAACUGACGGCAUAUUAGUCCAAGGACAAGCUUAGCAUUGAAAGAUGCCUUGUUUUUGGGUAUUUUAAAAAGUUUCCCAAAUGGAGAAUUGAGAAGAAACUGCAUCUCUGGUUUCCCCUUUAGUACUUUUGCUAUGUCAGAAAUGUACUCCGGUUUAGAGUACGCGUUCAUCUUCGUCUCGGAAGGGUACCGGUCUAGAGCAAAGAGUCUUGGUGGUAACUCUUCAACUGUAAGAUCUUCAGUCGGAGCAACACUUGGACUACCUGCAAUUAAAAGUCAUAUACUGUUGAGCAAACAGAAGUAGUGUACGUACACAGACAUUUUCCAGAUUAUAACUCAAAAUCAUAUUUUUGGCGGAAACAGAGAUUUCCAAUUCUACUUCUCAAUUUUUCAUCCUAAAGAUAUGCUAAAUUCCGACAAAUUCUAACACUUUAAUCAAACAAGCUUUACAAUUCUGAUACACCCAAAGACAACAAACGGUAAAUUAGAGAUUCUAACCCAGUUCCUCCGUUGCCUUUGUCGCAGAGCGUUUUCUCCGCGGGGAAACUCUUAAUACACGCUUCUCCUUCCCUGGACCAUGCUGCUUCCUCGGGACUUCGUCGUUAGCUUUAUUCCCAGCCAUAGCUAAAGAUGCUAUCUCGCCGGAGGUUCAAAUUUCGCCGGAAAAAACAGUAACUUUCUCUUGGCUUCGCCGGGAAAAACAGUAACUUUCUCUUGGCUUCGCCGGGAAAAACAGUAACUUUCACUUCACCGGAUGUGGGAGUUCAGUGGCACAAUUCAACUACCCAACAAUUCGAAGUUAUGUCGAAUUUUGAAGCAAUGGAUACUGAAUUUUGUUUCGCUUUCUGAUUCUCUCUCAAUCUCUCCGUUAUUCUCUUUUUCGUUUUCUCGGUUUCUUCGUUUCAGUUUUUUUUUUUUUGUCUUUUUCAAAACUGAACCGCAUCAACUAAACCGAAACCAACUGCUGUAGGGUUUGGUUUACGCCGUCAACUUAACCGAUACGAACUGCUGCACAGUUUGGUUUGUGCCAUUAUUAAGUUUUCUCAGGGUAAUUUGGUCCGAAAUUGAAUGAAAAGACAAAACGUGAAAACCAGUUCUCACUUUGACAAACGGUGAGAGCAAAUCUUUUUUCGUCCACUUUUGUGAAAAUUUCUUUUAAGUAUAU
RNAcentral lists this small RNA (1871 nucleotides) under Arabidopsis thaliana (thale cress). Its description in RNAcentral is "ATSL280650". Lineage: Eukaryota; Viridiplantae; Streptophyta; Magnoliopsida; Brassicales; Brassicaceae. The record is from RNAcentral.